This 773-nucleotide non-coding RNA is filed under the name Dodona eugenes. Lineage: Eukaryota; Metazoa; Arthropoda; Insecta; Lepidoptera; Riodinidae. The record is from RNAcentral.
AAUAAAUUUUUUAUGAUUUAAAAAAUUCAUUUUAAAUUUAUUUUACAUACAAAUUUUAGUAUUAAUUUUUAAUUAUUUUAAAAAUAAUUAAUAAUUAACGUAGUAAUUAUAUUUAAAAAUUUAAGAAAUUAAGAUUUAGUAAUAUUUUAAUUAAUAACAAAUUUUGUGCCAGCAGUUGCGGUUAUACAAAAAUUGAAUUGAAUUUUUUUAGUUUAUAAUAAUUAAUUAUUAAUUUAAAAUAAAUAUAAAAUUAUUAAGUAAAAUUUUAAUUUUAUAAAAUUUUAUAUAAAAAUUAUGAUUUAAUAAAUUUACAUUUAAACUAGGAUUAGAUACCCUAUUAUAAAAUUUUUAAAAUAAAUACUAAAAUAGUAGAUAAUAAUUUAUUGAAACUUAAAUAAUUUGGCGGUAUUUUAGUUCAUUUAGAGGAAUCUGUUUAAUAAUUGAUAAUCCACGAAUAAAUUUACUUAAUUUAAAAUUUUGUAUAUCGUUGUUAAAAAAAUAUUUUAUAAUAAUAAUAAUAUUUAAAAAUUUUUAAAAAAAUUAAUUCAGAUCAAGAUGCAGAUUAUAAUUAAGAAUAUAAUGGAUUACAAUAAAUUUAUUUAAAUGAAAAUAUAUUUUGAAAAAAAUAAUUGAAAGUGGAUUUAAAUGUAAUUUUAUUUAAUUUAAUAAAAUGAUUGAAAAUUAAAAUAUGUACAUAUUGCCCGUCACUUUCAUUUAAAAAUUGAAAUAAGUCGUAACAAAGUAGAAGUACUGGAAAGUGUUUCUAGAAUGAA